UCUCUCUCUCUAAACCUUUUGAGAAAUAGAAGAAAUGGAAGUGUAGAGAGGAAGGGAAGGAGAAAGGAAAUAGCUAGAAUUUCAGAACCAUUGGAUUUAUGCCAAGUGGCAAAAUCUGUUGAAGAGAAAGGAGAAAAGAUUCUUGGCAUGAAAAACAAGGUAGGAAAAUUUCCUCCACCGGCGGUGGCAGCGUGCCGAUCAAGACAGCGGAUGGGACGUGCGUGCAUGCAUGUGGAUGGGAUGUGCGCAUUGUGCGCAUGCCUUGCAGCCACAGUACGCGCAUGUGCGCGCUCAGUGCCUGCACCCACACGGACAAAUUACUUUCUCGCGGGAUUUUUCUCGCAAGCUGGUUUUCUCCUGUUUCGCCAUUUUCUGAUUUUUUUUCGAAAUUUAUCUUUUGAAAU
RNAcentral lists this long non-coding RNA (404 nucleotides) under Carica papaya (papaya). Its description in RNAcentral is "long non-coding RNA (CPAP_LNC015453)". Lineage: Eukaryota; Viridiplantae; Streptophyta; Magnoliopsida; Brassicales; Caricaceae. The record is from RNAcentral.